AGCCUUCCAGCUCCCUGCAGCAGUCAUGGGGCAGGGUUCCCCGAGUCCAUCAUCCCCAUUUCCACCUACUUUCCCUUAGUUGUUUGAUUCCCUCUGUGUCGUACUCAGCUUAAGUGGAGCAUCCCCUUUCCUGGGAGACACGAAGCAGGAAACACUGGCAAAUAUCACAGCAGUGAGUUACGACUUUGAUGAGGAAUUCUUCAGCCAGACGAGCGAGCUGGCCAAGGACUUCAUUCGGAAGCUUCUGGUUAAAGAGACCCGGAAACGGCUCACAAUCCAAGAGGCUCUCAGACACCCCUGGAUCACGCCGGUGGACAACCAGCAAGCCAUGGUGCGCAGGGAGUCUGUGGUCAAUCUGGAGAACUUCAGGAAGCAGUAUGUCCGCAGGCGGUGGAAGCUUUCCUUCAGCAUCGUGUCCCUGUGCAACCACCUCACCCGCUCGCUGAUGAAGAAGGUGCACCUGAGGCCGGAUGAGGACCUGGUGGGUAAAUGCAUGCCCUCUUCUUGGGCAGAAUUCUGGGGUAGCCUGGAGCUCAG
RNAcentral lists this small RNA (537 nucleotides) under Pan troglodytes (chimpanzee). RNAcentral describes it as "retained intron". The record is from RNAcentral. Lineage: Eukaryota; Metazoa; Chordata; Mammalia; Primates; Hominidae.